UUUGGGUAUUUAUUUACAAGUAUUAGCUCUGAUCACCCCUGUCAACAAAAUAGCCCGUCCCGCAUUUCCAUAUAUGGGCGUAACUUUUACCUGGGGGGAGAAGACGGCUCUUUUGUUAUGCAAAUGAGAUCCGGGUGACGUGAUUUGAGGAGAGAGGGGGAACGGUCGUCUGCGCAGCCGGCCGGCCAUGUGCGUUUUAUACUUGCUUUGAAGACAAAUGGACGACACUAAAAAUUCUUUCUGCUUUUUGCUCCAAAAACUAUGUAUUUUCACCGGAUUUUGGAAGGAAAACAACAGGAAAAGUGUAAUGUAAGGCUUCUCCGAAGAGAUCUACCUGUCAACAAGUGUACAAGACUGGGCUAUGAUAACAGAGCUUUUUAAAUGCACACUCAAGUUUGAGGCUUAGCAUCUCCAAAGAGAUCUACCCGUCAACAAGUGAGAUGUCAAAGACUGGCCUGUGCAAGUAGCUGCAAGCACUCGCCAUUCAAGGUUUACCAUCUCCAAAUGUCAAAUACUGGCCUGUGAAAGGAGCUUCAAGCACUCUCCAGUUAGAGGAAGACUUUACAUCUCCGACAAAAUAUACCCUUCAACAAGUUGAUAUCAAAGAAUGGCCUGUAAUAAAUGAGCUGCAAGCACUCUCCUGUUAGAGUCAAGCUUAACAGCUCCGAAGAGAUCUACCUGUCAACAAAUGGAUGUCCAAGACUAGCUUAUGAUGAAGGAGCUGCAAGUAUCCUCCAUUAAGAAGAAUUUCUUAAAAUCUUACCAUCUCCAAAGAGAUAUCUGUCCGUCACCAAGAAGAUAUUCAAGACUGGAUUAUGAUAAAGGAGCUGCACUCUCUAGUGAAAGUCAGGCUUACCAUCUCCAAAGAGAUCUACCUGUCAACAUGCCAAACACUGACCUAUAAAGGAGCGGAUGGCACUUUCCAGAGUAAGGCGCGGCUUUUCAUCUCUGAAGUGAUCUACUCAUCAACAAGUAGGUUUUCAAGCCUGGCCCAUGGUUAUUGAGCUUCAAGCAGUCUCCAGUGAGUCUCCAAAACAUCUACGUUUCAACAAUUGAAUGUCUGAGACCCAAGUAUCAUCAUACAACCUGCCAUAAAGAACUACCUUCUGUGUAAACGGGGGAGGAGACCUUAAUUACUUCAUAAAACACUUGUUCUGUACAUUGGUUUGAUUAUGGGACAUAUAUUGUGACAUCAAACUGAAAUAUUUCAAAAUGUUGAUUGGUUUCACAUUUUAAGCGUUGUCAACUAUUUUGACAAAAACACACCUUUAAUCACUACCUAUACACUUUUAUUACUGGAUCCGAAGCUCAAGUUAUGUUGACAACAAUUUGUUUUUGUGACAUCGAUUAACAAAUACAGAUGUUA
This is a long non-coding RNA of Asterias rubens (European starfish), 1366 nucleotides long. RefSeq lists it as uncharacterized. The transcript has 11 exons. Lineage: Eukaryota; Metazoa; Echinodermata; Asteroidea; Forcipulatida; Asteriidae. The record is from RefSeq and is a predicted model, not a curated record.